Molecule: non-coding RNA, 1149 nt
Organism: Python bivittatus (Burmese python)
Lineage: Eukaryota; Metazoa; Chordata; Lepidosauria; Squamata; Pythonidae
Source: RefSeq, a predicted model, not a curated record
GAGCUCUCCCGUCCGUCCUCGCUGUCUGAGAGCUUGAUUCCAGAAGAAAGCUGUGAAUGGUGGAUUCUUCAACAUUGACCGUUUCCAUACCAGCAUCAGAUUUACUCCACAAUGUUCCCAGAACAAUCUGAAGCUUAUGUAUUCAUAUGAUCCUGAUGACCAAAAAGCAUGAAGGACAGUGGGUGGUAACAAUAUACUUUCUUUUCAUGUAGAAUGGGGGUAGGACAAUGAAGCAUUUUUCUCUGGGGCCAGUGGCAACUCGGUAUGCCUUCUUGGGAUUCUCCUGAUAGUCAGAAGAAAGAUGUAAUGAUCUCCUGCAUGUUUUCAGUGUUUUGAGGCCAACUGAACUACAGAUACAAACCAAAUGUGUAUUACAGAACCAACCUAAUAGCUGAGCUGCACAACUUUGGAUCUUGCUGGCACAGCCUCACUCUUCUUGGUCAUGUUAGAUUGUGAUGCUAAGCAGAGAGAAUCUGAACAUCUUUAGCUGCCUCCUAUUCCAUUACUCACUUGUGAAUUAAAAAAGGAGUGAGCCUAGUUAUGUUGACUCUUCUCAAAAAGCUAAAGUGGGUUUGGACGUGAUUAGUGCCUGGAUAGGAAACCAAUAGGAAAUCUCAAGCUUGUAAAUUAGACUAGGUGGAGGUCCAAAAAAUCAAGCUGGAAGCUGCAACCGUGUAAUGGAAGCCCUGUACCUGUGGAUGCUCUGGCAGUAGAAGACAAUGGAACCCACUUCUAUAUUCUUGCCCAGAAACCUACGUAGAUAUAUCUAUACAGUCACUGAAGAUAUGCAGAAGUGGCUGCAGAGUGUGGUCAAAAGAGGCAAGGUGAUGGCCAUGAUGGUGCAAUUGAAGUCCAAACUGGAUUUACGGUAUGUGUGGUACAGCCACAGUCAUGACUUUUUUUGACUGUACCCUCUGGUCAGCUCUACAUACUGUAAUAUUAAAAAAUUGAUAAGAAUAUAAAUGCUAGACAUUUUCAACAACGCACAAGGUCCCUCUUUUUUUCAAACUUCACCCAUUGUAGGUUUUUGGCUCACAUCAGGUUUGCUCAGAUGAAAAUAUAAUUAGAUCCCUGUAAUCUGUAUCCAAAUGAGUGCAAAGGAUGAACAGGGGAAACAAGAAAAAACUGCCACGUUCCUACACCUUUAGA